GGAGGUGGACAGGCGGCCGCCGCGAGGUUUUUACUCGCGGAGGAAAGUCCGGGCACCACAGGGCAGGGUGCUCCGUAACGCGGAGUGGGGGCGACCCUAAGGAAAGUGCAACAGAGAGCAGACUUCCCGCCCAGGCGGGUAAAGGUGAAACGGUGAGGUAAGAGCUCACCAUUUCCGCGGGCGACCGCGGAAGAUCGGUAAACCCCACCCGGUGCAAGGCCGAAUAGGGGGACGUUUGAGGGCUGCCCGCCCGAUGUCCCCGGGUUGGCCGCAUGAUCCAGACGGCAACGGCUGGACCAGAUGAAUGACCGCCUCCUCCUUAGGGAGGACACAGAACCCGGCUUAUGGCCACCUCCGGUU
This 360-nucleotide RNase P RNA is filed under the name Nitrospinota bacterium. RNAcentral's name for it is "RNase P RNA component class A". It matches the Rfam family "Bacterial RNase P class A". Rfam says of the family: Ribonuclease P (RNase P) is a ubiquitous endoribonuclease, found in archaea, bacteria and eukarya as well as chloroplasts and mitochondria. Its best characterised activity is the generation of mature 5'-ends of tRNAs by cleaving the 5'-leader elements of precursor-tRNAs. Cellular RNase Ps are ribonucleoproteins. The record is from RNAcentral. Lineage: Bacteria; Pseudomonadati; Nitrospinota.